GACCUCCCCAGAGAAGGUGGUGUGAGGCCAACGCUGAAGAUGCUGCUGCUCCUGCUGCUUCUGGGGCCCAGCUCUGGGCUUGGUGCUCAUGUCUCUCAACAUCCAAGCAGGGCCAUCUGUGAGAGUGGGACCUCUGUGAAGAUCGAGUGUCGCUUUGUGGACUUCCAGGCCAUGACUGUGUUUUGGUACCGUCAGUUCCCCAAACAGAGCUUCCAGCUGAUGGCACUCUCUAAUGUGGGAUCUGAGGGCACCUAUGAACAAGGUUUUGACAAGGAAAAGUUUCCCAUCAGUCACCCCAAUGCCUCCUUUGCAUCUCUGAAGGUGACCAGCGCACAUUCUACAGACAGCAGCUUCUACUUCUGUGCUGGCUCUGGGCUUGGUGCUCAUGUCUCUCAACAUCCAAGCAGGGCCAUCUGUAAGAGUGGGACCUCUGUGAAGAUCGAGUGUCGCUUUGUGGACUUCCAGGCCUCAACUGUGUUAUGGUACUGA
Urocitellus parryii (Arctic ground squirrel) is the source of this 489-nucleotide non-coding RNA. The record is from the annotation of a RefSeq genome assembly. Lineage: Eukaryota; Metazoa; Chordata; Mammalia; Rodentia; Sciuridae.